Molecule: long non-coding RNA, 3703 nt
Organism: Equus asinus (donkey)
Lineage: Eukaryota; Metazoa; Chordata; Mammalia; Perissodactyla; Equidae
Source: Ensembl
GGGGAGGCCUGGGGAGGAGCCUGCCUCUCUGCUCAGCCCAUUUCCUGAGAGCCUCCUGGGGCAGGCUGAGAGCAGGCCCUCUGCAGAAGAGGAGGAGCCAGGAGCCCUGAGAGCCCAGAGCAGAGGGAGGGACAGCCUGAGCCCAUGGAGGGGGCUGGAGAGCCGUGGAUGCAGCUCCAUGUCCCCUGGUGCAGGGAGCGGUCCUGAGUCAGGGGACUUCCCUGCAACUCAGGGUUCAGUGUUCCCGCUGCUGCCAUGGGCUUGUCCUGCGAUGCAGCUUCUGUAUUCUCACCCUGAACCACCUUCCUUUCACAGCUGUCAGUAAACUGUGAGGCACCCACAGCAAAGCUGACAAGCACUGAACCGGCUUCAGUAAAAGAUUAAGGCCCCCAGUACAUAGUUAUACAUUCUAGCUGUGAGUGCCUCUGGUUAUGGUACGUGGGACCACACCUCAGCAUGGCCUGAUGAGCAUUGUCAUGUCCCCACCCAGGAUUCGAACCUGCGAAACCCUGGCCACUGAAGUGGAGCAUGCCAACUUAACCACUCGGCCAUAGGGCCUGCUCCUAUAAAUGUAUUUGGACACAUUUACAAUAUUCAUAGUAGAAUGUAGAAAAAUGCCUCCCCCAUCAUUGUUCCGGCCUCUCUCUCAGGUGGUUCAUUUUCUGCCGUCCUAACAGACAGUUGGGAAAGGAGGAAGGGAGGGGACUCCGGCUGCUCUUCCUUCUGCCUCGGGGACCACACUGGCAGGGACAUGAGAUGUCGCAGCACCUUUGCAAGAGAACGUUCCAGGUGGCUAUGCAGGAAGCAACUCAGUGCUGCGGAGUGCCAGCACAUCCCUGCUGGACAGGAUCUUGGUUUAAAGGUGAGAAAGGAGAAAAUGCUAUCACACUAGAGUGGAAAGAAAAUUCUUUAAAAAGGAAUAACAAAGUACCCCACUAGAAUGUAAAAAGAACUAUAGAGCUGCAGUAAUAGAAACAGGACACCGCUGUCGCCAGAAUAUAUCCAUGGAACAUAAUGUACCCUGAGAGAGAGAGAGAAGGAAAGAAAGAAAGAGACGAAGAUAGAGAGAAAGAGAGAGAGAAGAAAAAGAAAAUAUUAAAUUACAUCCUCUAAGCCUAGUGUUGCUAGUGAUAAUUAUAAUAUUGUUUAUAUUAUACUUGUAUGAAUUUACGUUGAAAAUUUAAAUCCACAUUUUUAGAAAUGCAGAUUUAAAAAUUUGAAAUUUUAAUAAAACCCCUAUGACCUAUAAUUGAAAUCUGUUUUUUCCUAAAAAAAAUACUUAUUGUUUUUAGCUAUCUACUGAAAAAACUAGAAACCAAUAGCCAUCUAGCAGUAAUGAGCUCUCCCAGCAUCUGUCCUGUGGCUUCAAAUACCAUUUUUCACUGAAAGACUAGGGCUCAAUUAUGAAAUGGCUGAAUCCAGGACUGGGAAGGAGGUGGACAAGGUCAAGGACAUCUCAUCUCGCCUGAAAGCAAAGAAGCCACGAGAGACAACUGAGGUCACAUCACAGGACACAGGAGCCAGCUCACAGAGUCUCUCACUGUGCACAGAGAAGACAAUGUGAGCACAAAGAGAAUAAGACCUAUGCAAGCAUGUUAAAGACACACAUAUAUAUAAAAACACACAGGCUCACUGAUGAGACUCAAAAUUAGUAUGUCAACUGUGGGGUUGCAAUGGCACCAUCGCAUUGUUCUGAAAAGGGAAAUAAAGAAGAAUCAAACAUUUCCCUUGCCUUUUCUGUACAAACUUUUCUUCAGGAUACGACAGAGCUUAUGAAUGAAAGUUCUUCUUUAGGGGAGUAUUACAGCAAGUAAAUGCAGGAGACAUAUUAAACUUGGAAAAUUACCGUCACGCAGCCCUAAUGAUGUCCUGGACUAGACAACUACCGUCAAUGGCUGUACAGCUCUGCCUCCUGCACUGGCUCUCUCUCCACCAUUCUAUGUCUCUAUCUCCCCCCUCUGCUGUCUCCAUCACUCUUUAUAGCCCUCCAUCUCUCCAUUGCUAGGUCCACACUCUUUCUUUUUCUGUUUUUUAUUCUCCAUCCCUCUGUGCUUUUCUCUCUAUGUCCCUUUACAGCUCUGUCUCCUUCUCUACUUCUCUUUAUCACUCUUCUUUCUUUCUCUUUCUCCUUAUCUCUCUAUAUUUCUGUCUCUGUAUCUCUCUAUCUUUACUAUCUAUCUUUCUUUUUCUAUUUCUUUACUUAUAUCUUUGUUAUCUGUGUUACUUUCUCUCUCUCUCUCUCUCUCUCUCUUUCUAUUUCCUCCCGUGGUCAUAACAGCUACUUUAAAUUCUCUGUUAUCCCAACCAAGAUUGUCAUCUGUUACUGGCUUUUCCAUUGUGAGAUGUUGAGAUUUUCCUGGUUCUCCACAUGUUGAGUAAUUUUGGUUGCAUUCUGCACAUUUUGAAUGUUGUGUUAGGGGCUCUAGGCGGUGUUUGCAUACUAUGGGGGAUAUUGAGUGUUUUGUUUGUAGACAAUUGACCUAGUUAGGGGUUGCAAAUUCCCACCUGCUGUUGGUGGGUAGUUCCAAUCGAUGCAGCUUUCAAAGGCUUUGUAGUGCUAUUCAGAUCUGUCCUGUGUGAGCGCCUCCCAGUGGUCAGUCUAGGACCCGGGCUGUGGUUUACCCCUAGAUCAGUUUGCGAAGUCAAUGGUAGGAUAUUUAGGGUCAUAUCUAUGUCUGCACAGUGGGGGUAAACCCAUUUGUUCAAACACCAUUGUGUGAGAUUUCUUUCUCAAACUCUCUCCUCUCUGCAAUCUCUACAACACUUUCCAAUUCACAGGGAUCGCCCAUUCCUGUCCUCUGGCCAGAUAAGUGGGACUUUAGCAUACUUUCUCUGCUGUGCAUUUCCUGCAACUGUGUCUGCUUUCGGGGCCAAGCAGGGAGAGGAUAAAGAGAGGACAAAAGCCACCAGGAUUCUCUUCAUGCUCAGAGACCUCAGAACAGGGGUUAUAGUUGCAUUCCAUGAGAGAAACAGGGUCAAAUGUGCUUUGUGCAAAUUUUCCAGCCGGAGCUCACUCCUUGCAACGUGAAUUCACAGCUCCUCAAUCAAGAAGUGCAGUUUAUUUCCCCGGUUUUUGAACUUGGGAGAAAGUUAUGGGGAUCCAGUUCUGAUUCUAGGCCUGAAGAGGCCUAAUGCACUUCUGCUCACUCUCUUGGAUCCCCACCAUUGUCGUGAGAACAAGUCCAGGCUGGCCUGCUCGAGGAUGAAAUACCACGUGGAACAGAGCUGAUUCAUUCCAGCCCAGGCCACCUUGACCAGCCAGCCCCCAGCCAACCCAUCAACUGACCAAUGUGACCAAAUCCAGAUGAGCUGAGCCCGAUCCAGGUCAGCAGAACAGCCUAGCCAGUCAAUUGGCUUGUGAGGAUUAAUAAAUGAUUGUUGUUUUAAGCCACUGUGUUUUAGAGUGUUUGAUAUAAAGCCUUAUUUUCCAAUAAGAUAGAUAGAUAGUUAGAUAGAUAGAUUUCUUGUUAGUACCAUUGAGUCAAUUCCAACUCCUAGCAACCCUGUGUCAGCAGAGCAGAACGCUACCCAGUCUUUUCGUGCCAUCCUCCCACCCUCCAGCGCUAUAUUGCACAAAGCUCCACUGCUAUACAUAGGGUUUUCAUGGCCAAUUUUUUGGAAGUUGUUGGCCAGGUCCUUCUUAAGGUAAAUAAACAGAUAGAUAGAUAUAGGUACAUAGAAAGAGACUAUAUAUAAAGAGAAC